RNAcentral lists this ribosomal RNA (448 nucleotides) under uncultured bacterium. RNAcentral describes it as "bacterial SSU rRNA". It matches the Rfam family "Bacterial small subunit ribosomal RNA", at positions 355 to 825 of the family's 1533-position model. The record is from RNAcentral.
UUAAGAAUCUUGUGCAAUGGGCGAAAGCCUGACACAGCGACGCCGCGUGCGCGAUGAAGGCCUUCGGGUUGUAAAGCGCAAUAGACAGGGACGAAGAAAGUGACGGUACCUGUUGAAAGCACCGGCUAACUACGUGCCAGCAGCCGCGGUAAUACGUAUGGUGCAAGCGUUGUUCGGAUUUACUGGGCGUAAAGCGCGUGCAGGCGGGCUAUUAGGUCAGGUGUGAAAUCUUUGGGCUCAACCCGAAGACUGCACUUGAAACUAACAGUCUAGAGUCCCGGAGAGGCAGGCAGAAUUCCUGGUGUAGCGGUGAAAUGCGUAGAUAUCAGGAGGAACACCUGAGGUGAAGACGGGUUGCUGGGCUGACACUGACGCUGAGGCGCGAAAGCCAGGGGAGCAAACGGGAUUAGAUACCCCGGUAGUCCCUGAGCGGGCUGGCAAGGCGCAU